AACCUUAUGGACCUGCGGGCGUAUACCUGCGGAAGGAUCAUUAAAAAAAAUGAUGAAUGUCGGGGGGCGUUUGUUCCCCCGUGUAUUCAACCAACCCGCUCUUGUAUUUGGAUCAACCAAAAAUCUAAAAAGCAAAAAUUAUAAUUAAUAAAAAAUAAACUUUCAACAAUGGAUCU
This 176-nucleotide unclassified non-coding RNA is filed under the name soil metagenome. RNAcentral describes it as "partial contains 5.8S ribosomal RNA, internal transcribed spacer 2, and large subunit ribosomal RNA". The record is from RNAcentral.